This 432-nucleotide ribosomal RNA is filed under the name uncultured bacterium. RNAcentral describes it as "partial 16S ribosomal RNA". It matches the Rfam family "Bacterial small subunit ribosomal RNA", at positions 29 to 507 of the family's 1533-position model. The record is from RNAcentral.
ACGAACGCUGGCGGCAUGCCUCACACAUGCAAGUCGAACGAGACCUUCGGGUCUAGUGGCGCACGGGUGCGUAACGCGUGGGAACCUGCCUUUAGGUUCGGAAUAACUCAGAGAAAUUUGAGCUAAUACCGGAUGAUGUCUUCGGACCAAAGAUUUAUCGCCUUUAGAUGGGCCCGCGUUGGAUUAGCUAGUUGGUGGGGUAAAGGCCUACCAAGGCGACGAUCCAUAGCUGGUCUGAGAGGAUGAUCAGCCACACUGGGACUGAGACACGGCCCAGACUCCUACGGGAGGCAGCAGUGGGGAAUAUUGGACAAUGGGCGAAAGCCUGAUCCAGCAAUGCCGCGUGAGUGAUGAAGGCCUUAGGGUUGUAAAGCUCUUUUACCCGAGAUGAUAAUGACAGUAUCGGGAGAAUAAGCUCCGGCUAACUCCGUG